RNAcentral lists this ribosomal RNA (443 nucleotides) under uncultured bacterium. Its description in RNAcentral is "partial 16S ribosomal RNA". It matches the Rfam family "Bacterial small subunit ribosomal RNA", at positions 338 to 795 of the family's 1533-position model. The record is from RNAcentral.
CCUACGAGAGGCAGCAGUGGGUAAUAUUGGACAAUGGGGGGAACCCUGCUCCCGCGACGCCGCGUGAGUGAAGAAGUAUUUCGGUAUGUAAAGCUCUAUCAGCAGGGAAGAAAGAAAUGACGGUACCUGACUAAGAAGCCCCGGCUAACUACGUGCCAGCAGCCGCGGUAAUACGUAGGGGGCAAGCGUUAUCCGGAUUUACUGGGUGUAAAGGGAGCGUAGACGGCGAUGCAAGUCUGAAGUGAAAGGCGGGGGCCCAACCUCCGGACUGCUUUGGAAACUGUAUGGCUGGAGUGCAGGAGAGGUAAGUGGAAGUCUUAGUGUAGCGGUGAAAUGCGUAGAUAUUAGGAGGAACACCAGUGGCGAAGGCGGCUUACUGGACUGUAACUGACGUUGAGGCUCGAAAGCGUGGGGAGCAAACAGGAUUAGAUACCCUUGUAGUC